Molecule: long non-coding RNA, 519 nt
Organism: Ficedula albicollis (Collared flycatcher)
Lineage: Eukaryota; Metazoa; Chordata; Aves; Passeriformes; Muscicapidae
Exons: 4
Source: RefSeq, a predicted model, not a curated record
GCGCGCCCGCCGGCUGCAGCGCCCCCUAUCGCGGGGGAGGACGCACUGCAUCCCCUCCCUCCCCUCGCGCCGCGACCCCGGCCCGGGGCGGCGCCUCCCGCGGGCCGAGUCACCCCGCGUGACCCGGCGGGGCCUGGGGAGAGGGCCGGCGGUCAGUGCUGUGGGGAAUCCCGAUGGAAAAAUAUCAAUAAAAAAGGAACAUGCCAGAGGAGAGUGCAACCCUUUAAACCACGGAGUAUAUUCAUAUUUGAUCCUGUAACAGCAAUAGAAAUUUAAUGGUAUUUUUGCAAAUUUUAAAAAAUCUUUCAGAGUGCACUCCAACAAUAAAAACCAAUGUGCAUGGCAAAUAAAAUCUGGAUGAAAGCAGUGAGACCUCAGAAGUUUGAAUCUCCAACAGUGUCAGGAUCAUCAUCACACCUGAUCUUCUCACAAGAGCUUCCGCAGUGCCACACGUGCAGCCUCCUCCUCUGCAGCCAGCAGUGUUUCACCAGGGCCUUCAGCUAAAAUCUUCUUAUCACU